UACACAUAUAUAAUUAUUAUCAUAGAUGGC
RNAcentral lists this non-coding RNA (30 nucleotides) under Rattus norvegicus (Norway rat). The record is from RNAcentral. Lineage: Eukaryota; Metazoa; Chordata; Mammalia; Rodentia; Muridae.